GACGUAGGGUCCAAGCGUUGUCCGGAUUUACUGGGCGUAAAGAGCGCGUAGGCGGUCUGUUAAGUGUAGAGUGAAAUCUCCAGGGCUCAACCCGGAAACUGCUCUGCAUACUGGCAGACUUGAGGGAUGCAGAGGUUUGUGGAAUUCCUGGUGUAACGGUGAAAUGUGUUGAUAUCAGGAGGAACACCCAUGGCGAAGGCAGCAAACUGGGCAUCAUCUGACGCUGAGGCGCGAAAGCGUGGGUAGCAAACAGG
This 254-nucleotide ribosomal RNA is filed under the name uncultured bacterium. Its description in RNAcentral is "partial 16S ribosomal RNA". It matches the Rfam family "Bacterial small subunit ribosomal RNA", at positions 524 to 776 of the family's 1533-position model. The record is from RNAcentral.